RNAcentral lists this long non-coding RNA (25658 nucleotides) under Nicotiana benthamiana. RNAcentral's name for it is "long non-coding RNA (NBEN_LNC020415)". Lineage: Eukaryota; Viridiplantae; Streptophyta; Magnoliopsida; Solanales; Solanaceae. The record is from RNAcentral.
UCAUUUUUCCUCAAUAGUAAUCAAAAGUAUACCCAAAAUUCAAGAAGUUAACAACGAUUUCUUCCAAGAUUUUCAUUUCCGUUGAAGAACUCAUGUCCUAGGACUGUUUCUCAUUCUACUUGCUCACCAAAUUGGGUUAGUUUCUCUUUCUAUUUCCUAAAAUUUUGUGAUAUUUUGUGGGUUUGUUGCUUUUUUUUUUCUCUGUUUUUUUAUCUAUGUCUAUAUAUAUGAAUGGUUAAUCUUGGGUAUUUGAGUCCGUAUUUAUUACCUAGUUUGGAUGUGUGUUAAAGUUGAAUGUUCGACUUUUCUGGUGACAAAAGCUUCUACGGUUGAAGCUAUGAAGCGAAAGUUGAUAUUGCUUAUCUCACUUCUAUGUUUAUAUUGGGUGAGACUUGGCAGGGCUAUCCAUAGAUGAUUUGUGUUUUGGUUUGUGUCUCCUUUAUGGUAGUUAUUUAUGGUAGUUACUGUAUGAUAUUAUUGCAUGCUAUUUUAUUUAUGUUUUUUAUGUUUGGUAGUUAUUUAUGGUAGUUACUGUAUUAUAUUAUCACAUGCUAUUUUAUUUAUGUUUCUUAUGUUUAAAUAAUUAUUUACGCUAUUUUUGCUGGAAUUACUAAUGCUCUCUUGUUUUUGUCUUUCCUUUCCUUCACUGAGCCGGGGGGCAAUUNNNNNNNNNNNNNNNNNNNNNNNNNNNNNNNNNNNNNNNNNNNGUCUUUCCUUUCCUUCACUGAGCCGGGGGUCGAUUGGAAACAGCCUUUCUGCCCUUUCGGGUAGGGGUAAGGCCCGUCUACAUAUUACUCUCCCCAGACCUCACUUUGUGGGACUAUACUGGAUAGUUGUUGUUGAUUUUUCUGUUUUUGCUGCUUCUAGGUUGAGUAGAUUUUUUUUAAUCAUUGAAUUUUGAAUAUCAUUAAUAAAUUAAAAUUAAGCUAAUAAAAGUAGUUUUGUAUAAUUAAAUUUUUGUCUAAACCUUUUAAUAGGUAGUAUCUUUUAUUUUUUGUAUUUAACUACUGAAAUUAUUUUAUUUUGUAAAGCAACUACCUAAUUAUUAGUAGCAAUUACUAUUCCUUAUACGAGAUGUGGGUUGAGAGUCUUUACAUAGUCAUAUAUGGGAACUAAAAUUCUUUGUUACUGAAUAUAUUUUUUCUAGUAUUUGUACUCGGCCAGAACUGUUCAAGACAUGCUUAUAUUACUUUGUUUGUUCUGAUUAUUGAUGACAUUACAUUUUUUACUUAUUAAUUGGUUGGAUUUUUUAUUGUAGAAAAUAAAAACGGAUAAAAGUUGGUUAAAUAUUAAGAAUAGAUGUGACAUAAGGUAUAUUGAAGGGAUAGACAACUUGUUUGACUAAGUAUACAGUCAACCAAAUGUGAGUGUCGUGAUUUGUUGACUGGUAAAGGAUGUAAAAAUACUGUGUUCAAGGCAAGAAUCCAAGUAGGAAAAGACUUGUGGGGUAAGGAGUUUUGGGAGAGUUACAAGGUAUGGGACUUGCAUGAAGAAGUAUUAGUAAGAGUUGAAAAUUCUAAUGCUGCAAACAAUGAUGAAAUAGACGAUGAAAAUUUCGAAGAGGAUAAUAUUCUUGAAAUGAUUCAUGAUGCUUUUGAGUAUACAAACAUGGAGGAUAUGAAUAGUCUUCCAUAGGACAAUGAAGAGCUAAAUGUGCAUGGAAGAAAUUUCAAUAAGUUAUUGGAAGAUGCUGAAACAGAGAUUUAUCCUUGAUGUAAGAAAGUGUCGAAGUUGUCUUUUGUAGUUAGACUACUUCACUUAAAAUGUCUUAAUCAUUGAAGCAAUAAAUUUAUCGAUGCAUUAUUGAGCUUCUUUAAAGAAGCUCUUAUAGAAAGAUCAUUUGUACCAAAUUCUUUCUAUGAAGCGAAGAAAGUACUUCAAGACUUAGGCCUGGGGUAUAACAAAAUUGAUGCAUUUGAGAACGAUUAUAUCGUAUAUUGGCAUGAGUAUGCCUAUGUCGAAUCAUGUCCUAAGUGUAGUAAGCCAAGAUGGAAGUCAAAAGAAAAUGGAGGCAAGAAAGUAGCUCAUAAAGUCUUGUAGCAUUUUCCAAUCAAACCAAGACGAGAUUGUACAUGCCAAAAGAGACAUAAAAAAGAUGAGAUGGCACAAAGAGGGAUGCAUUGACGACAGUGUCUUGAGACAUCCAUCGGACUCCAUGACAUGGAAAUCCUUUGACGAUCGGCAUCUCGCUUUUUCAGAAGAACUAAGAAACAUUCAAUUAGGUUUAGCAAGUGAUUGGUUCUAACCUUAUGGGAACAUGAGUACUAAUCACAAUAUUUGGCCAGUCGUACUCGUUCCGUAUAAUUUUUCACUAUGGUAUUGCAUGAAUAAUUCAUAUUUCAUGAUGACAUUGCUUAUUCCCGGAAGUAUAUAGAUGUAUACUUGCAACCAAUGAUUGAAGAAUUGAAAUAAUUGUGGGAUGGAGUGGGAGACUUAUGAUGCAUAUUCACAAUCUAAUUUUAUGAUGCGUGCAUCCUUCAUAUGGACAAUCAAUGACUUUCCUGCAUAUGAAAACCUCUCGGGAUGGUCAACUAAAGGUAAUCUUGCAUGCCCAUAUCGACAUAAAGAUACACACACGAUUUCCUUACGUAGUAAGUGGUGUUAUAUAGAUCAUUGUCGCUUCCUUCUAAUGAACCAUCUGUGGUGCAAAAAUAGGAGGUUAUUUGAUGAAAAAGUGGAAAUGGGAGUUGCACCUAGUUCAUUAUCAGGUGAUGAAGUACUUUCGCAAUUACAAGGCUUGGGUAAUGUAACUUAUGGCAAAGGUCAAAAACGGAAGCAUGAUGUAUCUAACAAUGCUUAUAAUUGGAGGAAGAAAAAUAUAUUUUUUCAAUUGCCUUAUUGGGAGACUCUUAUGUUACGACAUAACCUUGAUGUGAUGCAUAUUGAAAGAAAAUGUAUCCGAUAACAUUAUAUCAACUGUAAUUACUAUGGUUGGAAGACAAAGCACACAUUGAAAAGUAGAUAUGAUUUGGUUGACCUUGGUAUCUGGCAAGGGUUACAUCCAAUUGAGGAUGGGAAUAAUGUUUUGUUACUGCAAAAUGUUAUGCAUUGCCCCCACAAGGAAAGUUAAAGGUAUGCAGCUUCUUAGCUAAUUGAAAAGUUCUUGAUGCCUUUUAAUCAAACAUUUCAAGGUGUGUCAACAUAAAUUAUAAAAAAGUACAUGGAUUGAAAUUCCAUAAUUACCAUGUAGUAUUGCAAGAUAUUUUUCGAGUAGCAAUACAUCGUUUUCUACUCAAGGAGGUGUCUAAACCAAUCAUUGAGGUUAGGCAAAGUUUUCAAGAAUUUCUGUUCAAAGAUCCUGACAAUUGAAAAUUUUAAUAUCCUAAAAGUUGAAAUUGCUGUCACAUUAUAUAAACUUCAAUUUAUUCUUCCUUCGGCAUUCUUUGAUGUCAUGAUUCAUAUGCCAAUUCACUUGGAAAGAGAGGCAAAGCUUGGUGGACCUUUUUAAUAUCGAUGGAUUUAUCAUUUUGAGAGGUACUGCAUUUUAUAUAUUUCAAUGACAUACUUUUUGAAUGAUACAUUAUAUUGACAAGUCAUUUGCAUACAGGUACUUACGGAUUCGGCAUAAGUACCUGUAAUAACCAUCACAUUUAAGAUGUGGCGCUCAACCCAAUCCCAUAAUAACCUCACGACACAGGGCCUUGGCCCUACUUAGUAAGAAAUCUCUAAAAUUCACUCGAACACAGUAAAAUAUGACGCUCAGUUCAAAAUAUCAUUUAAGAUGUCAAAACAGAGUAAACAUGACUAAGUUAUGGAAACAUUAGAAUAUAGCAUGAUUGAGUACAAAUAUAAAUUCAAAACUUAAGGAAUAGUAGUAAAAAUCCCCUAAGGGUCCAAAAAGGUUGGCACGAGGCCCAAAUAUGAUAUUCAUCCCAAAAUAUAGUAAUACUUUUCAAAGCACAAUGAUAUUAAACAGGUUUUAAUCAAAUAUGUGACUUAACAGUCGUACGGGACGAACCAAGUGACAAUCCCUAAUGUUGCAAGACUCCACGCUCUUUUUCUAGCGUGUGUGUCACCUCACGGUAGCACAACAAUGGGAAACACAAGGUUUCAUACCUUCAGGACAAACAAUUACAAUCAUUACUUACCUCAAUCCGGUUCAAACUCUAGCCCACGAUGUCUUUGCCUCUCGAAUUGGCUUCUAAAUGUUCCAAAUCUAGCCAAAAGCAGAUUCAUACCAUCAAAAUAUGCUAAGGGAACAAAGCCCAUUCGAAAAAAAUCCAAUCUAAACAAAAAAUCCAGAAAUAGGCCAAUCCUGACCCCCAUGCCUGCAUCUCGGAAUCCGACAGAAUUUACAUCAAUAGAAUUCUUACACCCUCACGAAUCCAUACAUACCAAGAACAUCAAAAUCGGACAUUAAAAGGCCCCUCAAAUUCUCAAUUUUCACUCUCCAACUUCAAGCCCUAAUUUCCCAAUUUUUAGGCUUUAAAUUCCGUAAAUUUCAUAUUUAAACAAGUAAGAAUCAACAUAGAAUCGAGUGUAGAGUUCAAAAAUCUUACCCCCAAGUGUUCCCCUUCGAUUCCCUCUUCAAUCCUUCUCAGAAGCUCCAAAAACCGUUCAACAAUGGAGAAAAUAAACCAAAAAUCGUGAAACUCACUUUUAAACAUUCUGCCCCAGGUAAAAUUUCCUUCUUCGUGAAUGAGGUCAAAGCCUUGCGUUCGCGAAGCACAAGUAAUUCACAGCUCAAAUUUCCUCUCACGCGAAUGCAAACACUACCAUCGCGAACGUGAUGCCUUACUUAGCUUAGCCUACACAAACGCAUUGCUUCAAUCGUGAACGCGAUGCUUUAGGGCCUGGUGCCCAAGUCUGAUUCACCCUUCUACGCGAACGCGAACCAUGCCAUGCUUUCAUGAUGCACAAUCGGACUCAACCUUUGCGAACAUGGGACCAACAUCACGAAUGCAAAGGGUAACUGGACUGCCUCACUUAACAUCUCGCGAACGCGAAGAGCAAAACUUUGCAACACUGAACUGAAGGAAUCUGCAACUUUCAAAAUAGGAAUUUGAUUUGUUUAACCACGCGAAACUCACCUGAGGCCCUCAGGACCUCAACUAAUCAAGCCAACAUAUCCCAUAACCUCAUUCAAACUUGUUCCAAUAUUCGGAACGCUCGAAACAACAUCAAAACACCAAAAUCACAUCGGAUUCAAGCCUAAGAAUUUUAAAAACCUUCAAAUUUCGCUUUCGAUCAAAAGGUCUAUCAAACCUCGCUUGAAUGACCUGAAAUUUUGCACAUAUGUCACAAAUGACUCAACGGACCUACUCCAACUUCCAUAAUUCUACUCCGACCCCUAUAUCAAAAUCUUAUCUACCAACCGGAAAAUGCCAAAAUCCCAAUUUCACCAAUUCAAGCCUAAACCUUCAACGGACCUCCAAAAUACAUAAAGACUACACUCACAAGAUCGAAAUCAGCUAACGGAGCUAACCAAAUCAUAAAAAUUUCAAUCCAAGAUCAUAUACUAUCAUGUCAAAACUUGGUCAACCUUUUCAAAUUUUAUGCUUCAAACUGAGAAUUAUUCUUCCAAAUUCAUUUCGGUUACCCUGAAAACCUAAAUCGACGAUUUGCAUAAGUCAUAAUACAUCAGACGGGGCUAUUCAUUCCUGACAACUGACGAGCGAAGUGCAAAUGCUCAGAACGACCGAUCGGGUCGGUACAACCUCCCCCACUUAUUCAUACGUUCGUCCACGAACGUGCCCAGAGUUGUUCCAAAAGCCAUCAAAUCACUGUCAAACCUUACCAUGCACAUACUCGAGGGUGAUUCCACGUCACCCUAUCUCAUAUAGGUCCGAUAACACAAUUUAAAUGAAAUUUUACAAUCCAAACUAGCCCAUAAACCUUAGAACCACAUUUCCACUUCUGAACACAAAAUCAGAAUCUUACAUCUAUAUUCUAAAUAAGCCCGAACAAGCUGUAACAAACCAUACCCGAAGACUCAAAUGCCAUUACAUGAUAUACCACAUAACUCCAACACUCGUAGCGAUAGAUUCUAAUCACAACAGUUUCCCAAAACCACUGAAUACCGAUAAUAACUCUUAUCAAAUAAAGUCUCAUUCCAACACUUCUGUAUACUAUCAAUGAUAAAUGAAACAUGCAAUAAGUCAUAGCCAUUCCUCAGAUCAACCAUUCAUGAAGCCACUUCUCCUUUAGCAGGGACGAUAACAAAUUUCUAAGUCGAACCUUGAUAUUAUCCUUCCAACAUGCUGAAAUCAAAUCCCUUUGUAUUCAUUAUAGAUCCCAGCGAUCUCAUCUAAUCCAACACAACUAUUCUGAUGAGAUGACACAUCAAUACAAACUAAAGCCACAACUCGUGCAAUCCACACACCAAUAAGCAACAAUCCGAACAUACUCAAAUCAUGAAAAUGACUCAAAUGAAAGAGUUGUACCGCAAUCUCAUAAGUACCACCACACACAAUGCUGAGAACCCGUCACACUCGUAGAAGUAUAACAUAUGAAUCUAACCCGAAGGGUCACUCCUCCACAUAACUUGCUGCAAUGCGCGACCCUAUCCAAAUACUGGUCCACAUGAAACACCUCAAGUCAAUAUGCGCAAAAUUGACAACCACGCGCAAUUUGAUGCCUUGUACCAAAAGCAAUUCAUCAUAACCACGGCAAAGUAAUUGACAUAACAUUACAAAAACUCGAAAGGACACAAUCGAUACGCCCUCCACCGAGCAAUACCCAAUGCUCUUUCCGCUCGAAUUCCAUGGAGAGACCCCAAUAUAACCACACCACGUGUGCUUAUAACCAACACAUCCCAACGCCUCGCAACACGUAACGGUAACUCAUAGAUAUCUCCAGAUCACUAAUAAGCUCAAUAACAGUUGAAUUAACUCAACCCUCAAAAUUACAACUCGAAGUCAACCAAGCCGACUCGAUGUAGAACACUCAUCCAUAUUGUCCUACCCAUGAACCCCUUGUCAAGGAGUUCCUGAAGCUUCUACUUCAACUCUUUUAACUUCGCCAGCGCCACAUGAUACGGUUCCGGCACCAAUUCAAUACCAAAAUCAACAACCUUGUCCGGUGACAUGCUCGACAGCAGGAAACACAUCUAGAAAAUCCCUCACCACUGGAACUAAAUCAGCGGUAGUAGUCUCUGCAUUGACAUCCAUCAUGAAGGCCUAAUAAGAAGGAAAACCCUUCCUAGCCAUCCGUUGGGUCUUCAAAAAUAAAAACGAUUCUACUAGGAACAUAAUUUGUCAAACCUUGCCACUCAGUCCAUGGCAUUCCCGGCCUAGCUAACGUCGAUGUCCCAGUGUGACAUCUCAGAAUAACACAACACUGAGACAACCAGUCUAUACCAAAUAUCACAUCAAAAUCCACCAUAAUUAGCAACAAAAGAUCUACUCGGGUCCCAAACCUCCAAUAGUUACAAUACAAGACCGACAUACGCGUUCCACAAUCACGACCUAACCUGUUUAGGAUAACUCCCAAUCUCCAAAUCCAUACAGCACUUGAAUCACCAUAUCCAAUGCCACUCUACCGUCCGAAUAUACAACACACUUCUAGUACCCAAUCAUCCCACGAGGGGUACUCCUAUAAUUCUUUUGUGCCACCAAGGAAACUCGAAUAUCAGCAGUCGAUCAAACAAGAGACUGCCGUAAUACUAAUGAAGUAUCCUCAACUCAAACACAUCACCCUUUCUAAAAUGUAUAUUAUCAUCAAGACACACCAAUUAGUAAUAUCAUUUCCCUAAUCAUCUGAAGUUGCUCGUGCUGCCUUAGAAUCUUAUGACCUUUCUUUCCGAACUGAACCGUUACCUUACACAUGCAAAUCUUAAUCUUACAUAAUAUACUGCAUAUACCAUACCAUCCUAGGAUAAACAUGGAAACCCCAUAUCCCUUCCAAGCCACAAGCAACUACCUUCUCACUAGCCAAGAACAUUCCGUCGAUCCCAUCCAGAAGAAAAUCACUAUACAUCUCAUGCUCCUCAUGCUCGUAGAAAAUAUACUCCUCUAACUUUGGUAGAAACCUUCAAGAACUCUCCAAAUUUCAUUUGCACAAAAUAAACUGUCAGUGUCACGAUCCGGAUUUUCCCACCUUCGGGAGUCGUGAUGGCGCCUACUAAUAGGAGCUAGGCAAGCCAAUUAAUUUAACACUUCUCUUAACAACAUAAAAAAUACAAAGAAAAACAAGACAAUUAGUAUAAAAGCGGAAGUCUUAAGGCAUGAAUAACUAAAGCAAGUGCGGAAGUUCAAAUACAACUCUACCCAAAUCUGUUGUCACUAGCUCACGAACAUCUAAAGAGUGCUAAAUACAAAGUCCAAAAUAAAAUUAAACGAUGUUUGUUCCGGUACAAGGAUAAAAAAUGAUGAUCAACUAGAAGAGACUCCGGCCAUGCGAACGCCAGCAAGGCUACCUCGGAAAUCUCUGGAUUGGAAGGUCGCUCGCAGAAUGCUAGUGCCACCAACAUGCUGCUCCAACCCCGGGAUCUGUGCAAAAGAAUGCACAGAGUGUAGCGUCAGCACAACCCACCCCAUGUGCUGGUAAGUGCUUGGUCUAACCCCGGCAAAGUAGUGACGAGGCUAGAACCAGACUCCAGAUAAACCUGUGCAGUUAUAUANNNNNNNNNNNNNNNNNNNNNNNNNNNNNNNNNNNNNNNNNNNNNNNNNNNNNNNNNNNNNNNNNNNNNNNNNNNNNNNNNNNNNNNNNNNNNNNNNNNNNNNNNNNNNNNNNNNNNNNNNNNNNNNNNNNNNNNNNNNNNNNNNNNNNNNNNNNNNNNNNNNNNNNNNNNNNNNNNNNNNNNNNNNNNNNNNNNNNNNNNNNNNNNNNNNNNNNNNNNNNNNNNNNNNNNNNNNNNNNNNNNNNNNNNNNNNNNNNNNNNNNNNNNNNNNNNNNNNNNNNNNNNNNNNNNNNNNNNNNNNNNNNNNNNNNNNNNNNNNNNNNNNNNNNNNNNNNNNNNNNNNNNNNNNNNNNNNNNNNNNNNNNNNNNNNNNNNNNNNNNNNNNNNNNNAUGAAUGAAGGAAAACAACUAAAGCUGGGAGGGGGAAACAUGCUUGUGGGGGGUAUCAGAUAAAAACAAACUAUCAGGAAUAACAAAGGAAACUACAUCUGAUUUCUACAAACACAUAAUAAGGGAAAAUGAACUACUUUAACUCGUUCAAAUUCCUCUCGUUGCAGGCGUGCAACACGAUCCCAUUUACUCAUGUCAAGUGGUAGGCGUACCACACACUCCCAUUAUAUAAUAUUACGUGGUCGGCGUGCCACACGUUCCCAUUUUCAUAACGUCUCGUGGUCGACGUGCCACACGAUCCCAAUCAUAACAUCUCAUAGUCGGCGUUCCACACGAUCCCAAUCAUAAUAUCUCGUGACUGGUAUACCACACAAUCCCAUACAUAACAUCUCGUGGUCGGCAUGCCACGCGAUCCCAAUCAUAGUAUCUCGUGGUAGGUGUGCCACACGAUCCCAAUCAUAAUUCUCGUGGUCGGCGUGCCACACGAUCCUAAUCAUAAUAUCUUGUGGCCGGCGUGCCACACGAUCCCAAUCAUAAUAUCUCGUGGUCGGCGUGCCACACGAUCCCAAUCAUCUCAUGUUCGGCAUGCCACACGAUCCCAAUCGUAAUAUCUCGUGGUCAGCAUGCCACACAAUCCCACUCAUAAUAUCAUGUGGUCGGCGUGCCACACGAUCCCUAUCAUAAUAUCUUGUAAUCGGCGUGCCACAUGAUCCCUUAUCUUUCAACAUAAAACACAAAGUAAUCCCAGCAAGGGAGGAAAAAUAUUAUAAUAGACUAUCCCAGCAAGGAAGAUCCAGCUACAACCAAACACAUUCAAUUUCUACUUAACAUAAUUAAAUUCAUGCUUAGUCUCAACAAUUACUGGCUCAGUAUUAUACAUUUUUAACGAAGUCCUCAUAAACAACAAUUAAGAAUUCCAUAAUUUAACAAUUUAGGGCUCACGGUCAUACUCGACUCCAGUGUAUAGAUACUCGUAAUCAUGCCUUUACACUGUACUCAACAUUUAUCAAUUAGCAAAUAAUACUCUAAUCCUAUUCCCUCAAGCCAAAGUUAGAUCAAACCCGAUCCAAGAAUAACAAUCAACUCUCUAAUAUCACCUUUUCUCUACAAUCUGACUCCGAAACAACGAUAUUUAGGAAUAUUUGUUCAAUAAUAUCAAUAAGGGCUCAAAAAAUAUAAUCCCAUAGCCUAGAAAUGAAAUUCCUAACAUUCUUCCGGAAUACCAAAGUUCAAACCCGGGCCCACAUAGUCCAAACUAGAUCCUCGGACCAAAACCCGAUCACCUAUAACCCUACGAGUUCAAGUAUAUAAUUUAUUUCAAGAUUCGAUCCCAAAUUGAGGUUGAAAUACCCAAAAUUUCCAAAACCCUAACUCUACCUAAAACCCCCAAUUUUUACCUUGAAUUCAUGAUUUAAGGUUACAAAAUUAGUGUAUGGAUGAAGAAAUUAAGAGAGAAUGUGGUUAAGAACACUUACCCAAGAAGUUAUGGAGGAAGAGGAGCUUGAAAAUCGCCUAUGGGGUGUUGGAGUGAAGAGAUCAAGUGAAAUAAUGGCUAAAUCCCACAAUAAACACUGUUUUGUUUUGAAAAUCACAGAAGGAAAUUAACUCAAUGCGUUCGCGACACCGGGGUCGUGUUCGCGAUGAAGAAAAAGGGCAGGCAUUGCGUUCGCAAAAGAAAUACUGCGAAUGCGAAGAAGAAAAAUCUAGGCCCAAUACUUUUGGCCUAUGCGUCCGCGUUUGCCUCACACGAACGCGAAGAGGAGCAGACCAAAACUAUGCGAAUGCGUUCAGUUGACCGUGAACGUGACGGAAGGGCGAGGGGAAGCUACGCGAAUGUGAGCGUAGGGCCGCGAACGUGUUGAAGGAAUGCCUGCUGCGAUUUUCUGCAAUUUUUCUAAGUGUAAAAUCACCCGAACCACCUCCAAAUCACUCCUAAGCCCUCGGGGCUCCCAAUCAAACACACACGCUAACUCAAUGACAUCUUAUGAACUUAGUCGAGCAAUCAAAUCGCUAAAAUAACAUCAAAAUCAAUGAAUCAAACCUCAAAAUCAUCAUUUACAUUUCAAACUUCUUAAACUUCUAACAUUAGAUAUUUAGGUCCGAAACACGUCUAACGAUGUUCGAUUUCGAUCAAAUUUCACAGAAUGUUUCUUAACGCAUAUUUAAUACCUGUACCGGGUGCCGGAACAAAAAUACGAACCCGGCUCCUAUAUUUUCUAACUCAUUUUCAUUUCAAAAUUUCAUAUCAUUUUCAGAAAAAUAAUUUCUUUCAAAAUUUCUUUACUCGGGCUCGGGACCUCAGAUUUCAAUUCCGGGAAUACGCUCGAGUCCCAUAUUUUUCUAUUGGAUUCUCUGGGGCCGUCACAUCACGGGUUUGGGUUCGUUUUCCCAAAAUGGUUACUGAAGUCAAUUUUAACAAUAUUAAUAUCAAAAUUCUUCAAAUUUUACACAUAAUUCACACAUUUCAACAUAAAAACUUAACGGCUUUGAGCCCGGAUUGCGCACAUAAAUUGAGAAAAUGAAACACGAGAUUUUUAAGGCCUCGAGAGCACGAAAAAAGGAAGAAUUAUGGUGAUGACCCAAACAUAAAUAAUUUAACUUCGUGGUUUUCUCGCUUGAUGCCUAGACUGCACACGCAAAUCAAGGAAACUAAAUGUGAGAUUUUCAAGGCCUUGGAAGCACAGAAAAAGGAAGAAUUAUGGUAUGACCCUUUGGGUGUCACAUUCUCCACCUCUAGAACAGUUGUUGGUCCUCGAAUGGACAAAAGAAAGAGUACCUGAGUGGGGAAAUAAAUGAGGAUAUCAUCUCUGCAUAUCAGCCUCAGACUCCCAGGUCGAUGCCUCAGGGGGCUGACCUCUCUACUAAACACGCACUGAAGGAAAACUUUUCGACCUCAACUGUCGAACCUGCCGGUUUAAUAUAGCCAUCGCCUCCUCCUCAUAUGACAAACCCUUGUCCAAUUGAAUAGUGUUGAAAUCUAACACGUGCGAUGGGCCGCCGUGAUACUUCCGGAGCAUAGAUACAUGAAACACUGGAUGCACAACUGAUAAGCUAGGUGGCAAGGCAAGUUUAUAAGAAACCUCUCCCACACGAUCAAGAAUCUCGAAUGGAUCGAUGAACCUAGGGCUAAGCUUGUCCUUCUUCCCAAAUCUCAUCACGCCCUUUAUAGGCGAUACACAGAGAAAUAGUCGCUCACCAACCAUGAAAGGAACAUCUUUGACCUUGCGGUCGGCAUAACUCUUCUGCCUGGACUGAGCUGUAAGAAGUAUAUCCUGAAUAAUCCGCACCUUAUUCAAGGCCUUCUGAACCAAAUUUGUGCCCGAUAACCGUGCCUCUCCCGGCUCAAACCAUCAGACUGGAGACGGACACGGCCUACCAUACAACGCAUCAUACUGGGCCAUCUGAAUGCUGGACUGGUAGGUGUUGUUGAAGGAAAACUCUGCUAAUGGCAAAAACUGGUCCCACGAGCCUCCAAAAUCAAUAACGCAGGCUCGGAGCAUAUCCUCGAGANNNNNNNNNNNNNNNNNNNNNNNNNNNNNNNNNNNNNNNNNNNNNNNNNNNNNNNNNNNNNNNNNNNNNNNNNNNNNNNNNNNNNNNNNNNNNNNNNNNNNNNNNNNNNNNNNNNNNNNNNNNNNNNNNNNNNNNNNNNNNNNNNNNAUUAAGAAGGAUCUAAAUAGUCCUCUCGGAUUGACCGUCUGUCUGGGGAUGAAAUGUUGUACUCAUUUGAACCUGGGUGCCCAACUCUCGCUGAACCGCUCUCCAGAAAUGCAAGGUAAACUGCGGACCUGGUCCAAUAUGAUAGAUACAGGCAACCCACGAAGGCGAACGAUCUUCCUUAUAUAUAUCUCAGCUAACCUUUCAGACGAAUAGGUGGCUGCAACAGGAACAAAAUGCGCUGACUUGGUCAGCCUAUCAACAAUAGCCCAAACUGCAUCAAACGUUUUCCGAGUCAUCGGAAGGCCAAUAACAAAAUCCAUGGUAGUCCUCUCCUACUUCCACUCAAGAAGCUCAAUCCACUAAAAUCAACCACCGGGUCUCUGAUGCUCAUACUUAACAUGCUGGCAGUUCAAACACUGAGCCACAUAUGCUACUAUAUCCUUCUUCAUCAUACACCACCAAUAGUGCUGCCUCGGAUCCUGAUACAUCUUCGUGGUGCCCAGGUGAAUAGAAUACCGAGUACUAUGGGCCUCCGCUAAGAUUGACUCUCGAAUCGAUAUUUGGCACACAAAGUCGCCCAUGCAAUCUGGAUAUACAAUCAUCUCCCAAGUCACUUUCUUGGCACCUCCAUGCUGCACUGUGUCUCUCAGGACACACAAAUGGGAUCCCCAAACUAUUGCUCACGAAUACGCUCCAAUAAUGAAGAUCGAGAAACCGUGCGAGCUAACACUCUGCUAGGCUCAGAAAUAUCUAACCUUACAAGACAAUUGGCCAAGGCAUAAACUUCCAAAGCAAGCGAUCUCUAGCUGAUUGGAAUAUAAUCAAGACUACCCAUGAUGGCGAACUUCUUACUCAAUGCAUUGGCCACCACAUUGGCCUCUCCGGGUGAUAUAAGAUAGUAACAUCAUAAUAUUUUAGCAGCUCUAACCACCUCCUCUGCCUCAAAUUCAACUCUUUCUGUUUGAAUAGAUACUGUGGACUCUUGUGAUCAGGGUAAACCUCACACGUCACACCUUAUAGGUAGUGCCUCCAAAUCUUCAAGGCAUGAACAAUGGAUGCCAACUCAAGAUCAUGAACUGGAUAAUUGUUCUCGUGGAUCAUCAAUUGCCUUGAAGCAUAGGCGAUGACCUUUCCAUCCUGUAUCAAUACUACACCAAGUCCAAUACUGGAAGCAUCGCAACAAACUGUAUAAGGCUCUGAACCUCUGGGCAAAACCAGUAGCGGUGCCGUAGUCAGAGCUGUCUUGAGCUUCUGAAAGCUCACCUCACACUCGAUUGACCACCUAGACUAGCACACUUCUGGGUCAACCUGGUCAUCGGGGCUGCAAUGGAUGAAAACCCCUCCACGAAUCGAUGGUAGUAACCUACUAAACCCAAGAAGCUCCGAAUCUCUGUAGCUGAAGCUGGCCGAGGCUAGUUCUUGACUGCCUAUUUCUUCUUCAGGUCCACCUGAAAACCCUCUGUGAUACGACAUGACCCAAAAAUGCAUCUGAACUUAACCAAAAAUCGCACUUCGAGGACUUAGCAUACAACUGACUAUCCUUUAGAGUCUGAAGAACCACUCUGAGGAGCUGCUCAUACUCCUCCCGACUACGGGAGUAUAUAAGAAUAUCAUCAAUGAAGACUAUCACGAUCAAGUCUAAAUACGGCCUAAACACUUGGUUCAUCAACUCCAUAAAUGCUGUUGGGGCAUUAGUCAACCCAAGUGACAUGACCAAAAACUCAUCGGCGAAGUAGUGACGAGGCUAGAACUAGACUCAAGAUAGACCUGUGCAGUUUUAUAUAUAUAUAUAUAUAUAUAUAUAUAUUGAAAGAUAAGUAAUCAAUAUAUGAGGGGGAGCAUGCUAUGAGGGAAAAUAACAAUUUCAAGUAAAAGUCGUCCAGCAACGAAGGAAACAACACAACGCAGGCAUUAAAAGAAAUAGAAAGCAAUAAGUGCACGGCAUCACCCUUCGUGCUUUUACUCUCACCUUCACCAAGCAAUGAUAUACUAAAACGUGCACGGCAUCACCCUUCGUGCUUUUACUCUCAUCCUCAUCAAGCAAUGAUAUAAUAAAACGUGCACGGCAUCACCCUUCGUGAUUUUACUCUCAUCCUCACAUAUAAUCAAGAAUCGGCACGGAAUGGCACAUCGUGUGGCACGGCAUCACCCUUCGUGCUUUAACACUCUUUUCUCAUAAUAGCAAACAAUACACGACAUCAUCCUUUGUACUUUAACACUCUUUCUCACCCAAAUAACAGUCACCAAUAAGGGGCAAGGGAGUAAACAAAACAAAGGCUACCAUGAAUAACAAAGGAAACUACAUUUGAUUUCUACAAACACAGAAUAAGGGAAAAUGAACUACUUUCACUUGUUCAAAUUCCUCUCGUUGCAGGCGUGCAACACAAUCCCAUUUCCUCAUGUCAAGUGGUAAGCAUACCAUACGAUCCCUUUAUAUAAUAUUACGUGGUCGGCGUGCCACACAUUCCCAUUUCAUAACAUCUCACGGUCGACUUGACACACGAUCCCAAUCAUAAUAUCUCAUGGUUAGUGUCCCACAGGAUCCCAAUCAUAAUAUUUUAUGGUCGGCGUGCCACAUGAUCCCAAUCAUAAUAUCUCGUGAUCGGCGUGCCACACGAUCCCAAUCCUAAUAUCUCGUGGUCGGCGUGCCACACAAUCCCAAUCAUAAGAUCUCAUGAUCGGCGUGCCACACGAUCCCUUAUCUUUCAGCACAAAACACAAAGUAAUCAUAACAAGGGAGGAAAAAUAUUAUAAUAGACUAUUUCGGCAAGGGAGAUCUAGCAAUAACCAAACUCAUUCAAUUUCUACUUAACAAAAUUAAAUCCAUACUUAGUCUCAAAAAUUAUUGGCUCAGUAUUACACAUUUUAACCAGUUCAUCGUAAAAAACAAUUAAGAAUUUGACAAUUUAACAAAUUAGGACUCACGGUCAUACUCGACUCCAGUGUAUAGAUACUCGUCACCAUGCCUAUACACCAUACUCAACAUUUAGCAAUUAUGAAAUAAUACUCUAAUUCUUUUCCCUGAAGCCAAUGUUAAAUCAAACACUUAUCUUGGUCCAAGAAUAGCAAUCAACUCUCUAAUAUCGCUUUUCCUCUUCAAUCUGACUCUGAAACAACGAUAUCUAGGCAUAAUUAGUUCAAUAAUAUCAAUAAGGGCUCAAAAAACCAUAAUCUCAUAGCCUAGAAAUGAAAUUCCUAAAAUUCUUCCAAAAAUACCAAAAUUCGACCCCGAGCCCACAUGGUCCAAACUCGAGGCUCAGACCAAAACCUGAUCACCCAUAACCAACGAGUUCAAGUAUAUAAUUUAUUUCAAGAUUCGACCCCAAAUUGAGGUUGAAUCACCCAAAAUCCUCAAAGCCCUAACUCUACCAAAAACCCCCAAUUUCUACAUUGAAUUCAUGAUUUAGGGCUAGGAAAUUUGUGUUUAGAUGAAGAAAUUAAGAGAGAAUGUGGUUAAAAACACUUACCCAAGAAGCUAUGGAGGAAGAGGAGCUUGAAAAUCGCUUAUGGGUGUUGCAGUGAAGUGCUCGAGUGAAAUAAUGGCUAAAUCCCGUAAUGAAUACUGUUUUGUUUUUAAAAUCACAUAAGGAAAUUAACUCUAUGCGUUCGCGACACUAGGGUCUCAUUCGCGAUGAAGAAAAAGGGCAGGCAUCGCGUUCGCAAAGGAACACUACGAACGCAAAGAAGAAAAAUCCAGGCCCAAGACUUUUGGCCUAUGCGUCCGUGUUUGGCCUCACGCAAACGUGAAGAGGAGCAGACCAAAACUAUGCGAACGCAAUCAGUUGACCGCGAACGCGAAGGAAGGAGUGAGGGGAAGCUACGCGAACGCGAGCGUAGGGCCACGAACGCAUUAAAGAAUACCUUCUGCAGAUUUUCUACAAUUUUUCUAAGUGUAAAAUCACCCCGAACAACCUCUGAAUCACUCUCGAACCCUCAGGGCUCCCAACUAAACACACACACAAACUCAAUGACAUCAUAUGAACUUAGUUGAACAAUCAUCGCUAAAAUAACAUCAAAAUCAAAUAAUCAAGCCUCAAAAUCAUCCUUUUCAUUUCAAACUUCUUAAACUUUUAACUUUCGAUAGUUAGGUUCGAAACACGUCAAACAACGUCCGAUUUUGACCAAAUUUCACUAAUAGCGCUUAACGCAUAUUUAAGACCUCUACCGGGCACCGGAACCAAAAUACAGGCCUGAUACCUAUAUUUUCUAACUCAUUUUCAUAUCAUUUUUCGAAAAAUAAUUUCUUUCAAAAAUUCUUUACUCGGGCUCGGAACCUCGGAUUUCGAUUUCGAGAAUACGCCCGAGUCCCAUAUUUUUCUAUGGAGCCUCCGAGACCGUCACAUCACGGGUCCGGGUCCAUUUACCAAAAAUGUUGAUCGAAGUCAACUUUAAUAAUAUUAAUGUCAAAAUUCUUCAAAUUUUACACCUAAUUCAUACAUUUCAACAUAAAAGCUUUCCAGUCUCGUGGUCGGACUGCACAUGCAAAUCGAGACAGCUAAACGCGAGGUUUUCAAGGUCUCGGAAGCACGGAAAAAGGAUAAAUUACGGUCAUCACAGUCAGGACUAAAUCCUUCUAACUCGACCAAGCUACGCAUGCCACUAAAACCCAAGAGCAUUGUCGCGAAACACCUUUAGAAACUCAUUACCUCAUAAGCAUCCAAAUAACUAAUCAUAUACUUUCCAUGUCGAUCUGGCCUACUACCAAGCUAUCCCAGCUAUCCAGGUUCCUUCUGAUUUUCCUUCAACUUGAUACUUCUUCUUACUACAAAACCAAAAUCCUUAACCCAGACUUGCCACACGAGAUCCAAGCAUAAAACCACACCGUCUUAUGGAUCAUAAGCCGUUGAAUACUCUCUUAAAUAUUCCCAAACGUUCCAUGUUCAAGAUACCUACCCCGAAGUGACUCCCUGCAACCCCAAAGCCAUUACAUUCACCUUCCUGAUACUAACGUAUAGAAUCCCCUAAUGAUAUAGAAAUACGACAAGUCUUGACACCCUCAAAUGCAAACCUCAAUUUCUAGCAAAUUAUACAACUUGAAAAUCUCCAAUUAUUACAUGUAAAAUCUUGAACUCCCUAGAACAAUUUUCGAGAGUCAUGCACUCUACUCAAACCGCAAUUAGACCGAUCAAGCAGACCGGAAGACCAGUGCUCCAUUAGCUCCCUGACACCACAGAAUGUAACCUCAUCUUAAUACAACCAAGAAGCUUCCUACUCUAUGCACCUUAUAUCCUUUAUCAAUAACAACUCAAGUCAUUCAAUGAUUCUCAUACACCCAUAAAGCAUAACUUAACCUUUAUUGAAAUUUCCUUUACUCGAGACAUCCUCCGUCUUAACCUCCGUAAGCCAUAACUGAUUUACCCAUACGCCUCAAACUAGAAUCAACAUAGCCCAUAAUCGUGCAACUAACUAAUCAAUAGCAGACUCCACCACUUGGCUCAAAACCCUAGAUCAACAAACACAAUAGCUUAUAAUGCAUAUACUCUAUUACUUCCAUAAUACCAUAGUGAGAUUAAACUCAAAACUUCAUAACUCAUGAAACACAACCAUCUAGUACUUUAUAUCUUAUGAAAAUCUCGCAUUCACCCUCAUAACAAUUAAGACCACUCUCUUAGGAGACCCAAAUUCAAAUUGCCAACACAUAUAUUUCACUAGUGUAGAAGAUAGCCCAACUGCCUCGCCUCAAACUAACAUCUCAUUAUACCCUUCCACCAUCAUAAACAUUAUGCAGUCACUUAAUCUUCCUGAGUCUGAACUCAUCUCAUAACAUGAAAUAUACUUGACUUCCCAACUAGCCAACAUGAAAAGAUCCUUCAACACGUUUACAACUCGGGCCAUAUAUAAAAUCACAAUGGAAAUCAAAUACCGGAUAGUUCUUACUACCCCCAAGCAGACCCUUCUUGUCUCAUUCAAAUCACAUGAACACAUCUCGCAGGAACAAUAUAUUCAUCACAUAGCUAUCCAGCCAUCACUCUCACUAAUCGGGACACUAUCGAACAUAAUAAUCCAAUAUCACGUGCUCACACAAUCAACACCUCAAUGCUCAAGAUGUAGGCAAAACCCGGCCUCAAGUCCUCCAAACUGGCCCAACAUCAACAUACAGAGAUCACAUCUCGCCCCUCAAUUAGGGAAUCACCAGCCAUCAAUGCAUAUCUGAUACUAAGCGUUCAUAUGCGCACACGAACACAUGGAAGGAAUUUAAAGAGUUACAUUUCAAGCUGAAUGAAGGUUGCACGAUAAGAAUUCAAGAAUGUGAAGUUUUUCCUAAAGGUUCUGUAGUCUCCCGAGGAUAAGUACAAACUUUUUGUACCGAUUCGCGAGACUCUACUAUAGAUAAUCAUGACUCGUGAGACCUAUGUAACCUAGGCUCUGAUACCAACUUGUCAUGACCCUAAAACCUAUCCGGUCGUAAUAGCGCUUAUUGUGAAACUAGGCCAGCCGACAUAACUCUUGAAUUAACCAUUUAUCAAUAAUAAUCAUUUUAAGCCUUUAAUUAAUCAAAUGUCUCGUAAUGUAAGUCUAAAUGUAUAGUACAGAAAUAAUAUACAAGCCCGACAUCGGGAUGUCACAAGUCACGAGCAUCUACUAAGGUCUAAAUAUAACAAAGAGUCCAAAAAUGUACUAAAUACAGUCUAAGGAAUAAAAGAGGGAGGAAAGCAACGAUGCGAACAUCGGGCAUCGACAUUGCUAACUCCAAUGACUCUUCCACUAAGAAAUCAACACCCGCUACUGGGUUCAGAAUUACCUGAAUCUGCACACAAGAUAUAGGGAGUAAUGUGGGUACACGAACUCCGUAAGUAAAUAAAAGCAAAUGAAAGCUGAGCAGUAAGAAAAUAUGUAAUCCACAUCAUAACACUACACCAAAUGUAGAUCAUUUUCAAAGCAGUACACAAAAUCAUUUGCCUCGUAAAUCAAGCUCAGUUUUAGCAAAAAAACCUAUUUAAAACAACUUUCAAUUUUUCGGACGAGUGAUAAAACAGUGAGUAUAAAUGAAAGAAACAUAAACAGUCCCUCGAGCAUAAUAUGGAUCAAGAACAGCCCCCAGGAAAUAGCAUGAAACAACCACAACCCCUCGGGCAUAAUCAAUAUAUCACUCACUGAGGGUAUCCGCACUCACUGAGGUGCAUAGACUCCGGGAGGGGCCCCUUACGGCCCAAGUGCUAUAACAAGCCAUCCCAUGGAAUAAUCAAUAUAUCACUCACUCAGGGUACCUGCGCUUAAUGGGGCUGUACAGACUCCGGGAGGGACCCCUUACAACCCAAGCGCAAUUACAAGCCAUCUCGUGGAAUAAUCAAACAAACUCUUGGCCUCAUAUCAAGCCACCUUGUGGCGUACAACUCAAGCCUUCAGCCUUAUAAUCAUGGAUCAGAACAAUAUCGCUGCGGCACGCAGCCCGAUACCAUUAUAGCCUCACAACACUGGCCAUCGACCCUACUCAGUCAAAAAUCUCUAAAAGCCACUCGAGCACAAUAAAAUAUGAUGCUCAAUUAAAAAUAUCAUUUAAGAUGUCAAAACAGAGUAAACAUGGCUGAGUUAUGAAAAUAGUAGAAUAUAGCAUGACUGAAUACAAAUAUAAAAUCAAAACAGUGAGGAAUAGUAGUAAAAAUCCCCUAAUGGUCCAAAAUAGUUCGUGCGAGGACCAAAUAUGGCAUUUAGCACAAAACAUAGUAAUAAUUUCCAAAAUAAAAAUGAUAUAAAAUAGGUUUUAAUCAAAUACACGACUUAACAUUUGUACGGGAUGGACCAAGUUAUGAUUCCCAACGGUGCAUGACCCCACACUGGUCGUCUAGCGUGUGCAUCAUCUCAUGGUAGCGCUACACUGGAAAAUCUGGAGUUUCAUACCCUCAUGACAAAUACUUACAAUCAUUACUUACUUCAAUCUGGUCUAAACUCUAGUCUGCGAUGCCUUUGCCUCUCAACUCGACCUCCAAAUACUCCAAAUCAAACUAAAAGCAGAUUCAUACCCUCAAAAUAUGCUAAAGGGAACAAAGCCCAUUCGAAAAUAUCCAAUUAAACCAAAAAUCCCGAAAUUGGCCAAACCUGGCCCCCAGACCCACGUCUCUAAAUCCAACAAAAUUUACAUCAAUAGAAUCCUCACACCCUCACGAGUCCAUACACACCAAGAACAUCAAAAUCGGACAUCAAAUGGCCCCUCAAAUCCCCAAUUUGCACUCUCCAACUUCAAGCCCUAAUUCCCCAAUUUUUAGGCUUUAAAUUCCACAAUUUUUAUGUUUAAACAAGUAAGAAUUAUCAUAGGAUCGAGUGUACAGUUCAAAAUCUUACCUCCAAGUGUUACCCUUCGAUUCUUUCUUCAAUCCUUCUCAAAAGCUCCAAUAAUCGUUCAAUAAUGGAGAAAAUAGACUGAAAAUUGUGAAACCCACUUUUAAACGUUUGCUCUAGUAAACUUUCCUUUUUCUUGAACGAGGUCAAAGCCUCUUGUUCAUGAAGCACAAAUAAUUCACAGCUCAAAUUUCCUCUUAUGCUCACUCGAACCUACCCUCGCGAACGUGAUGCCUUACUCAGCUUAGCCUAUGCGAACGCGUUGCUUCAGUCGUAAACGUGAUGCUUUAGGGCAUGGUGUCCAAGUUUGCUUCACCCUUCUACGUGAACGCGAACCAUGCCACGCAUUCGCGAUGCCCAAUCAGACUCAACCUUCACGAAUGGAGGACAACAUCACGAAUGCGUAGGGUAACUAGCCUGCCUCACUCAAAAUCUCGUCGCGAACGUGAGGGCCCUCUCGCGGACGCGAAGAGCAAAGCUCUGCAACACUGAACUGAAGAAAUCUGCCAUUUUCAAAACAAGAAUUUGAUCCAUUUUACCACCCGAAACUCACCCGAGGCCCUUUGGGACCUUAACUAAACGUUCCAACAUAUCCCAUAACCUCAACAAAACGUGCAUACCUAAUGUGACAUUGGAGCAUCAAGAAUUGACUAUAUUUAUCAAGGACGCUCGCUCUAUUAUGCAUGUCAUUGUGGAUCCCAAACUACUCCUUCUCUACUUUCCAUUAGCAUAUCUCACUUUAUGAUGUAUCAGUCGAAGCAAGGAUUGUGAAAAGUUAGCUCAUCUCUCUUAAAAGAAUGUCACAAGUCCGCCUCUAAGUACCCUAAGAUUUCCCCUCAUGUAAAUCACCACUAAUGCUAGCUCACUCAACUUUAAAUCAUGUAGGGCACUUUCGGGAUGUAGUGAAGGUUUUUUGGAUCAAUGUAGGACUUGAUGGAAUAGAAUGCGUUCAUCUUUCCUAAGGCACUCUAUUUUCUCUUUUUGGCUCAUACUUUGUCGACUUUCGACAAAACUUAUCUCCUUCAAUUCGUUUAGCUUCUAAGCCUUCCAAAUAUUUUGGUACUUGUUAUUCAUGAUCGUAUGAAUUAUUAACUUCCACCGUAACAUGAAUAACUUACUUUAUAAAUUUUUCAGAAGAUGUUUUAUUUCUCAGCUUACAUCAAUUCACUUACGACGUACUCUUAAGUACGAAAACAUGGGGUGUAACAUACCAGUUCUGAUUUUGUCAUUAUCUUGAACCACAAUUCUAGGAAUUUCUUUCUUGAAUCAGAAUAUCAUAUUCCAAAAUUCUUCAUUUAGUUGAGAUGGUUGCAUAUCCACCUUUUACACUCCCCGUUGUCACGCCCAUAGCAUGUUCCAUAUUAUUCCCACCCUUUGGGUUCAUCAUCGUAUCACUUGGUAGGGCCCUCUUAGGACGAGUGUUAAAAGCUUGAAAAAUUUGACCUAACUGAAUUUUCAAAUUGCGGAUUGAAGUGUUGUAAGAGGCUAGUUGAGCAUCGGAGUCGGCCUUCAUCUCCAUCAUCUGUUUUAACAUGUUCUCAAUUCUACGCAUCUCAUUGUUAGAAGAGCUCGGGCCUUGAGAAGGAUUGAGAGGUGGAUUUCUUGGUUGUUGGAACAUCGGGGCCUUUGAAAACUCGACCCCUGGUUGUUGUUGUUGUUCCAUCCUCCUUGGUUUUUCCCUCCCCAAUAGACUUAAUUAUUUCCUCCGAAACUGCCUUGGUUACAUUGAUUAUUCCAAUUGCCCUGAUUAAGAUUGCCACCACUCCAAUUGCCAUGGUGAUUUUGGUUGUUCCAAUUUCCUUGAUUUCCUUGUGACCACCAUUAUUGUUGAUUUUUUCCUUGAGCAUUGUUUCUUUGACCUUGAUAAUUGUUGACACAUUGCACUUCUUCUUCUUGCUCAUUGGACGCAUCACCUUGGUCAUACCCACUAUCAUUUUGCAUGAAUUGUUCCAAACGGCUUUGCAGUAGUUGUCCUUUUUGUCGUCUCUUGUUCAUCAUCAUAUUCCCACCUUCCAUUGCAUUCAUUUGUUUCGGCCCUUGAACUUGUUGAAGCUGAUCUUUGGUCAAUUGGUUCAUUGUAGUUUUCAACUUAGCUAUAGCUUACCCAUGAUCAUUUAGUUCCUUAUGUAGGUGAAUGAGAUUUGGGUCAGCUUGAGGAACAUUGGCUCUACUUUUCCAUGCCCAUGAGGUAUCCUCCAUCUCAUCCAAAAUGUCACAAGGUUCGGCAUAAGGCCUGCUCAUGAAGUACCCACCGGCGAUUGAUUUACCACACAUUGAUUUGUUGUGUUGAUCCCCCUGUAGAAGGUCUAUUAGAUCAUGGCCUCAGUCAUACCAUUAUUCAGUCACUCUCUAGCCAUGGUAGGAUAUCUUUCUCAAAUCUCGUUCAAUAACUCAUUUGGCUCUUGCUUGAAUGCAAGAAUCUUAUCCCAUAAUGUCGUCGCCAUAUACCCCAUAGAGAAGAAUUUGAAAAUUGAAUUUUUCCGCUAACUCAUCCCAUGUAUGAAUGGAAUGAUUGGGCAGUCUCUCUAGUCAGUCCAAUGCCUUUCUCUGUAGAGAAAAGGGAAAUAGCCUUAACCUUAACGCGUCCUUGGAGAUAUUGGUUUUCUUUCUCCCCAGCAAGUAUCAACGAACCCUUUGAGAUGCUUGUAAGCAUUUUGACUUAGAGCCCGGGUGAAGAAUCCUCGUCGAUGUGUAAGCAUCAUGUUGGUGAUUAGGAAGUUGCCUGCCCUAAUGCGGCACGGGACUAUAGCACUUGCAUAACCCUCGUUCAGUCAGUGUGCUGUUGCUCUUGGUCGAGGUGGGGGAAGGGAGGGAACAUUAUCGUGAGGCGGUCGGCCUUGCCUAUUUGCUUGAAGUUUGGGUAGAACCUCAUCUCCAUGGUCAAUCAUCCACUUCCUCCCCCCAAUGGCACAUUCCUGAUGGGGUUGUUGUUGAGAUCCAUUCUCGUACCUAUAAUCACAUCAAAAAAACAAAGUUUGUGACUCGGAAGGAAAAGAAAACAAAUCACACAAAAACUUUUAUAUAUACUAAAUCCAUUUAACACCACCAACGGCGUCAAACAUUGAUGUCUCCCAAACUCACACCACAAAUAUAGGUUAUGAAGCGGUCGAAGCACUAAUAAAAAUCCAACGCCAGUCAAGGUCGAAUUCUCAGGGAGUUAGAAUUUGGAUUAGGUAUACACCUAGUGUGAAUGUAUGAUGUACCUCAAAUUACACUUCAGCAUUUUCAAUUUUUGUUCCUACUUCCUCAUUUAAGCUGUUGAUUGUAAUUGAAAAGCUAAAAGAUAAUAUUGUUGGUUUUGGUUGUUUUUCAAAUUGAUAAAAGGUCUAGGGUCAUGUCUUCCACCUAGGUGUUACCUAAGAGAUUGUAAACUCUAGGAAAAGUUUGAUUGGUCGGGGUUGUAAUAUAGAAAUCACACGCAAUUACCCACUCAAUACCUCUUGGUAGUUUGAGUGAUAUUGCCUAAUUUGACUUUCUCAAAUCUAAAUGGGUAUUGCACAAAAAAAGUGAUAAAUUCUCAAGUCGAGUCUUACUAUCUCUAGAUUCAAUCUUUUAGUUGGUGCUAUCAUUUCUUGAGUUUACCCCAAUUUCUUGUUAGCCAAAUUUUUCUAGACUUAGUCUUUCUUUAUCAAGUAGAGACUAAGCCAAUUAGGCAUGAAGAAAUGUUUGCAUCCAUUAAUUCUUGAAUUCAAGCAAAAACUAGGCUAAAUAUGACUAACCCAAUCACAAUCAAGCCCUAAAUCAAAUACUCAUUAAAACUCACAUUAAGGUUGGGCCAUAACCCUAGCUAGAAAUUUAGCUACUCAUGAAAAAUGAGGAAACUAAAGAACAAGCUAAGAUAGAAUUCAAAAUAGAUGUAAGGAAAGAAAAUCUAAUGUUAAAAUGAUAAACUAAUACAAUAUAUCCCAGUAUAGUAAAGAAAAACGACUCAGAUGCUCUCCAAAAAUAAAAUUUAACUAAAACUGACAAAAAGUUCUAUUUAUAUUAAGCUAAAAAUAUCUAACAAAAUUGCUCCUGCGGAGGUUGUGUGGCCGCACAAUUAUGUGUGCGGUUCGUACAUUGAGACAUUGCUUGACAGGUUCCAGUUUUUUGGCCGUACAAUUCUGGGGUGCUGUCGCACUCCUUCAAUUUCUGCGGACCGCACAUUUAUGAGUGCGGCCGCAUUCUUGCUUCUGCGGCUGCACAAUUACAGUGUGGUCCUCACUUCUUGAUUUUGGGCUUUGGCAUUGUGGGACGUCUGCGGACCGCACAUUUCUGAGUGUAGUCGCGCUCUUGUUAUGCGGCUAAACAAAAUUAGUGCGGUUCGCAUUUCUUGUUGACCUAAAAUCCCAUCUCUGAACUAUGUCUUCAGCUGCCGCACUAGAAUUAUAUGGUUCACACUUUGCAUAGCAUUUCUUGUUAGAAGCUUUCUUCAUAAUCUAUGGCCGCACACAAUAUUUUGCCGAUCCGCAAUGUGCCCUUUUAGCCUUGAUUUUGUCAUUAUCUUAAAUUACUCCUUUUUGAGUUGCUUUUUCAUCUUUUUGGUUCAUAUUCUAACACUCCUGCAAGCAAGUGCAUUUCAUUAAUUUUCAGAAAUACCUUUAAGCAAUUGUUAGCUAAAACGAAAGUAAAAGAGUGCAAAUAAGUGGUGAAAAUUCCUAUUUAUCAGUAAUGUGCAAUCCUUUUAAGUCUUUAACAUGAUGAUUGAACUAAUGUGUUUGUUUACAGGUCAUCGAGCAUCCCAGGUCCAAAAAAAUGAGCUCCUCGUCUCUGUGAAGAAUCAUUCAAGAAGGCA